GGCUGUGUAGCUCAGAUGGUUAGAGCGCCGCCCUGUCACGGCGGAGGUCGCGGGUUCGAGCCCCGUCACGGUCG
This 74-nucleotide transfer RNA is filed under the name Mycolicibacterium aubagnense. RNAcentral's name for it is "tRNA-Asp". It matches the Rfam family "tRNA". From Rfam's summary of the family: Transfer RNA (tRNA) molecules are approximately 80 nucleotides in length. The record is from RNAcentral. Lineage: Bacteria; Bacillati; Actinomycetota; Actinomycetes; Mycobacteriales; Mycobacteriaceae.